This 447-nucleotide ribosomal RNA is filed under the name uncultured bacterium. Its description in RNAcentral is "bacterial SSU rRNA". It matches the Rfam family "Bacterial small subunit ribosomal RNA", at positions 355 to 825 of the family's 1533-position model. The record is from RNAcentral.
UGGGGAAUAUUGGACAAUGGGCGCAAGCCUGAUCCAGCCAUGCCGCGUGAGUGACGAAGGCCUUAGGGUUGUAAAGCUCUUUUGGCGGGGAAGAUAAUGACGGUACCCGCAGAAUAAGCUCCGGCUAACUUCGUGCCAGCAGCCGCGGUAAUACGAAGGGAGCUAGCGUUGUUCGGAAUCACUGGGCGUAAAGCGCACGUAGGUGGGCAGUUAAGUCAGGGGUGAAAGCCCGAGGCUCAACCUCGGAAUUGCCUCCGAUACUGGCUGUCUAGAGUUCGAGAGAGGUGAGUGGAAUUCCUAGUGUAGAGGUGAAAUUCGUAGAUAUUAGGAAGAACACCGGUGGCGAAGGCGGCUCACUGGCUCGAUACUGACACUGAGGUGCGAAAGCGUGGGGAGCAAACAGGAUUAGAUACCCCGGUAGUCCCUGAGCGGGCUGGCAAGGCGCAU